Sander lucioperca (pikeperch) is the source of this 156-nucleotide long non-coding RNA. RefSeq lists it as uncharacterized. Lineage: Eukaryota; Metazoa; Chordata; Actinopteri; Perciformes; Percidae. The transcript is spliced from 2 exons. The record is from RefSeq and is a predicted model, not a curated record.
CAGUGGGUAGAGCGGGCGCACAUAUACUUGAAGGUUUAUGCCUCGACGCAGAGGCCCAGGGUUCAAAACCGACCUGUGGCUCUUUCCUGCAUGUCUUCCCCAUCUCUCUCCCCUUUGAUAUCUAAGCUCUCCUAUCAGUUAAAGGCGGAAAUGUCC